GCCUCUGAUGAUGAUGAAAAAUAUAACUUUCGUUCUUCCGAUAUUUCCAUGAGGAAAACGUUUGGAGACCUGAACUGAAGAGGC
Glycine soja is the source of this 84-nucleotide non-coding RNA. NCBI's taxonomy places the organism in Eukaryota, Viridiplantae, Streptophyta, Magnoliopsida, Fabales, Fabaceae. The record is from Rfam.